Molecule: ribosomal RNA, 405 nt
Filed under: uncultured bacterium
Lineage: Bacteria
Description: partial 16S ribosomal RNA
Rfam family: Bacterial small subunit ribosomal RNA
Source: RNAcentral
AUUGAACGCUGGCGGCCGGCUUAACACAUGCAAGUCGAACGAGUGGCGGACGGGUGAGUAAUGCUUGGGAAUCUAGCUCAUGGAGGGGGAUAACUACGGGAAACUGUAGCCAAUACCGCCUACCAUAGGAUGAGCCAUAGUGGGAUUAAGUAGUUGGUGAGGUAAAGGCUCACCAAGCCGACGAUCUCUAGUUGGUCUGAGAAGAUGACCAGCCACACUGGGACUGAGAAACGGCCGAGACUCCUACGGGAGGCAGCAGUGGGGAAUAUUGCGCAAUGGGGGGAAGCUGACGCAGCCAUGCCGCGUGGAUGAAGAAGGCCUUCGGGUUGUAAAGUUCUUUCGGUAGCGAGGCGUUAACUACAGGAGAAGCACCGGCUAACUCCGUGCCAGCGGCCGCGGUAAAGC